AAAAGCCAGGAGACGAAGGAAGGAAAUGAGCAAACUCACUACUGUGUUGCUCCUUCUUCAAGUUUUGACUUCCUUCCGCAAAUCCCCUGCUCUUGUUUACUUUUCAGAGUCCUCGGGUAUUUUGUAUUCUGUCCAGAGUCUUUAGCCGUAAUUAAUGGGACGAAUAAGCUAAAGUGGGCUCACUCCAUCUUUGCUGGCAUCUGAAGCUUGGGAUUUGUUUUGAAUCAGCCUUCAACCCAGCCACACUACCCAGUACCUGCUGGUUCCCCGGCUCCUUCCUCUCCUCUUUACCUUCCACUGUGAUGAAGCGGCCCAUUGACUUCUAGGCACUUGACUUAUCUGCUUAGUGUCUUGGCCUUCGCUGGCAUUCUCCCUCCUGUGGGACAGCUCUUCAAACUCCCUCUCCAGGAGAGCCCAUCGUGAGUCAGACUUAGUGGCCAUAAAAGACGAGACAGGACAGGGUGAGGGCUAAGGGAACGAACCCGGACAUCGAGGUGGCUCAAAGUGCACUGGAGCAGCAGAACAGAAAGAACGUCAGCGGAACAGAAAGGAGUCCCUGCUUUCAGAGGUGGCACAAAGCUCCAGAAUCACCACGGGCUUUGUGCUGGGUCAGCUGGCACCCACCUGGCAGGUUUUAGGAAGAACAAGAGCGUUCGUUUGAAUAGAUGGUCUGAGAAGCAAGCUCCUAGAUGGAGCAUCAAGUGGAACGCCCAUCCCACAGGGCAGCAUGGCAGCAGGCUUCCAUGAGUGAGCAAUCCAAGAGACAGCAAGACAGAAGCCAACGUCUUUAAUAACCUAGAUUCUGAGUGGCACACCAUCGCUUUGGUCCUAUACUGUUGGCCACACAGACCGACCCUGAUACAAUGUGGGAGGGAUCCACACAAGGAAGCAGGCACCAGGAAACAGCAUUAUUGAGAGCCAUCUCAAAGGCUGCCUGGCUACCAUGAGCCUCCUCUGAGAGACGGCUGCUUCGGACACAUCUUUUCACUGCCAAUAUUUGACACAGGUCUGGUCAGGUAGGAGGUGCCCAAUGAGGUUUGUUGAUGAUGAAGAGAUGUUGGGCACUCACCAUAAGCUGGAAUUAAAUGAAAAGUCCUCCUGAGGAUGAGGCAUAAUCAGAAAUAUUUCUUAAUAGACAUAAUUAAUACUGCAGAAUAUUUUUCUGAUUUUCAAUUGUUUUCAUUUAUAUUAAUAAAGUAAGGCUUGGGCCUAAGUAGGAUAAAAUUAAAUGUCCAGGGGAUGGCUUGAAAUGGGCCCUAACUGACUAUUUCCUCCCUAACUAUUAUGGUGGGCACUAAUUCUAUUCAAAACCACAAGAAGGAUAAGGCAUCAUCAGAGAAAGAUAAACCUCACACAAUUGGUUUUUAAAGAAAAUUUUUACAUCCCACAUUAUUCUAAAUGGGUUUAUAGUAAGCCCUUGCCUUUUUUUAUUCUCAGAAACUGAAGUUGGACUCCUUGAGAAGAAUGAUUAAUCUAAACUCACCAGCCAUUAACUAAGGAUUGGUUUAUUAUACAGACUUGAAGGAAGACCUCGUCUCCUCUCCUAACUUCUUUGCUCUCCAUGAGUUCUUAAUCUCCAAGACCAGACAAAAACAAAGGAUUUUUAGAGUAAGGUCGGUAUAAAAACUUCCCCACCAUUUUUUUUUACUGUUUUCCAAUUUACAGAAAAAUAAAGCUGGAGUAGAAAUAAA
This 1691-nucleotide long non-coding RNA is filed under the name Equus caballus (horse). Its description in RNAcentral is "lncRNA (ENSECAG00000030472.3)". Lineage: Eukaryota; Metazoa; Chordata; Mammalia; Perissodactyla; Equidae. The record is from RNAcentral.